GACGAACGCUGGCGGCGUGCUUAACACAUGCAAGUCGAACGGAAAGGCCCCAGCUUGCUGGGGUCCUCGAGUGGCGAACGGGUGAGUAACACGUGGGUGAUCUGCCCUGCACUCUGGGAUAAGCCUGGGAAACUGGGUCUAAUACCGGAUAGGACCGUGCUUUAGUGUGUGCGGUGGAAAGUUUUUCGGUGCAGGAUGAGCCCGCGGCCUAUCAGCUUGUUGGUGGGGUAAUGGCCUACCAAGGCGGCGACGGGUAGCCGGCCUGAGAGGGUGUACGGCCACAUUGGGACUGAGACACGGCCCAGACUCCUACGGGAGGCAGCAGUGGGGAAUAUUGCACAAUGGGCGCAAGCCUGAUGCAGCGACGCCGCGUGGGGGAUGACGGCCUUCGGGUUGUAAACCCCUUUCGGCAGGGACGAAGCUUUUGUGACGGUACCUGCAUAAGAAGCACCGGCUAACUACGUG
Molecule: ribosomal RNA, 465 nt
Filed under: uncultured bacterium
Lineage: Bacteria
Description: partial 16S ribosomal RNA
Rfam family: Bacterial small subunit ribosomal RNA
Source: RNAcentral